RNAcentral lists this ribosomal RNA (466 nucleotides) under uncultured bacterium. RNAcentral's name for it is "partial 16S ribosomal RNA". It matches the Rfam family "Bacterial small subunit ribosomal RNA", at positions 28 to 505 of the family's 1533-position model. The record is from RNAcentral.
GACGAACGCUGGCGGCGUGCUUAACACAUGCAGGUCGAACGGAAAGGCCCUGCUUUUGUGGGGUGCUCGAGUGGCGAACGGGUGAGUAACACGUGAGUAACCUGCCCUUGACUUUGGGAUAACUUCAGGAAACUGGGGCUAAUACCGGAUAGGAGCUCCUGCUGCAUGGUGGGGGUUGGAAAGUUUCGGCGGUUGGGGAUGGACUCGCGGCUUAUCAGCCUGUUGGUGGGGUAGUGGCUUACCAAGGCUUUGACGGGUAGCCGGCCUGAGAGGGUGACCGGCCACAUUGGGACUGAGAUACGGCCCAGACUCCUACGGGAGGCAGCAGUGGGGAAUAUUGCACAAUGGGCGGAAGCCUGAUGCAGCAACGCCGCGUGCGGGAUGACGGCCUUCGGGUUGUAAACCGCUUUCGCCUGGGACGAAGCGUGAGUGACGGUAAUGGGUAAAGAAGCACCGGCUAACUACG